GCAUCGAAGAGAAAUGUUUUUUGUGGCAAACAUUUUGCUGACCUAACCAAUAAAAAGUCAUAAAUUUGAUUACCCAAUACCCAACCUCAAUUAUCAAUUAAAAAAUAAAUACCAACCCCUGGCCAAAAUUAAAACUAUACAAAAGGAUACCAUUCAAUUGUCACACUUGUCCUUUACCACUUCUGUGACAUGAGUUUGAUAACGGAUUGUGAAAUUUUCUGCACAUGUAGUUUCUCUGGAGACACCAUUUGACUCUUGACAAAUCGGAAAAUGAUCAAGAUAGUGACUCUGAUUGAUUCACAUAUUGUAUUUACAUAUGACUGUUGACAUUGCUUUUUAGUCUCCAAUAUUUAAGUGAGUCAUGCUUUGGAAAUGACAAUAACUUUUAUUACCCAACCCUUGAGUUGUUUUGUUUACACAACCCUUUUUUCUUCGGUACCACACUCCCCCCUCCCCCAUAAAUAAUGACCGGUCCUUUAGUGCUAAACUGCUUCACGCGCCCUCCCUCCCCGAUGGUCGACUUGAAGCAAGUCUACUGGCGCCAUUGAUCUACGGAAAGUAUUCGACACAGUAGAUCAUGCAUGCAUGCAAUCUUAGAGGAAAAAUUAAAAUCGAUUGGAUUAGCUGUACAUCCAUUCUUAAAUGGUUUAAAUCAUAUCUACCGAAUCGUACUCAAGUAAACAUCAUCAUGCAAUAACUCAAGAAAAUGUCACCGCCUAGAUCAGUUACUGUUGGUGUUUGAGUGCAAUACGAUGUUUUACUGGGACGUUUUCUUGGACCUCUUCUCUUCCUAAUUUACAUUAAUGACCUACCUGAAUACCUCAAUCAGUGGCGUAACGCUCAUUGGGUAGGGUUAGUUCAAAAACUAAGGGCCCCGACAGUUAGGGGCCCCAUCAGCCACGGCCUAUCGCUCAGAAAAUU
This is a non-coding RNA of Paramuricea clavata, 921 nucleotides long. NCBI's taxonomy places the organism in Eukaryota, Metazoa, Cnidaria, Anthozoa, Malacalcyonacea, Plexauridae. The record is from the annotation of a GenBank genome assembly.